GAACGCACCUUGCGCUUCCUGGUAUUCCGGGGAGCAUGCCCGUUUCAGAAUCAUUAAAAUCUCACAAACUGUUAUGUCAUUGCACUUAUAGUAUUGUGGAUUUGGAUGCUUUGCCUCAGGCAAUCACCAGAAAAAGAUUGUAUGUGCGCCAAUAGGACAAAAUUGGUUAUCAAAAGUGCAACAGAGGAAACUCCAUUCGCUUUUGGCAAUUUAUUUUGAUACUGAUGGAACAUGUGCUCCAACUAUCAACAAGUGUCAAACUAUUUUGGUUUGCUGCUUGAUAACUUGGUCUGAAAUCGGGCAAGAAAACCCGCUGAACUUAAG
This 324-nucleotide unclassified non-coding RNA is filed under the name Spizellomyces lactosolyticus. RNAcentral describes it as "sequence contains 5.8S rRNA gene". Lineage: Eukaryota; Fungi; Chytridiomycota; Chytridiomycetes; Spizellomycetales; Spizellomycetaceae. The record is from RNAcentral.